This 301-nucleotide long non-coding RNA is filed under the name Setaria viridis. RNAcentral's name for it is "long non-coding RNA (SVIR_LNC005343)". The record is from RNAcentral. Lineage: Eukaryota; Viridiplantae; Streptophyta; Magnoliopsida; Poales; Poaceae.
UAAAAGCAUCCUUAUUUCCACUUUUAGGGAGAACACUCACUCUAGCAAUCUUAUUGAUAACAACAGGGUGAUGCCUAAGUCCAUUUGUUUUCGCAAGAGCACAUGCAAUUCUAGUUCUAGGAGGCUCAUACAAUUGAACAAUAUCAUCAACCUCAAAUGGAUCCUCCAACAUAAUAUUGUGACUAGACUUAUCAAAAAUGAAAGUAUGGUUCAAUUGAUUGACAGCAGCAAAAUCAGCAAAUGUAGCCUCAUAUUAAUUUUUACCGGUCAUCCACUCAAGUUUAUCUUCAUCCAUAUUAAU